Molecule: ribosomal RNA, 426 nt
Filed under: uncultured bacterium
Lineage: Bacteria
Description: bacterial SSU rRNA
Rfam family: Bacterial small subunit ribosomal RNA
Source: RNAcentral
AACGCUGGCGGCGUGCCUAACACAUGCAAGUCGAACGGGAAAGUGGAGCAAUCCACGAGUAUAGUGGCGACCGGGUGAGUAACACGUGACUACCUGCCCUUGAGUGGGGGAUAACCUUGGGAAACCGGGGCUAAUACCGCAUAAAAUCGAAAGAUCAAAGGAGCAAUCCGCUUUUGGAGGGGGUCGCGGCUGAUUAGCUAGUUGGUGAGGUAAUGGCUCACCAAGGCGAAGAUCGGUAUCCGGCCUGAGAGGGCGCACGGACACACUGGAACUGAAACACGGUCCAGACUCCUACGGGAGGCAGCAGUGGGGAAUUUUGCGCAAUGGGGGAAACCCUGACGCAGCAACGCCGCGUGGAGGAUGAAGCCCCUUGGGGUGUAAACUCCUUUCGACCGGGAAAAUUAUGAUGGUACCGGUGGAAGAAGC